GACGAACGCUGGCGGCGUGCUUAACACAUGCAAGUCGAACGGAAAGGCCCUGCUUUUGUGGGGUGCUCGAGUGGCGAACGGGUGAGUAACACGUGAGUAACCUGCCCUUGACUUUGGGAUAACUUCAGGAAACUGGGGCUAAUACCGGAUAGUAGCUCCUGCUGCAUGGUGGGGGUUGGUAAGUUUCGGCGGUUGGGGAUGGACUCGCGGCUUAUCAGCUUGUUUGUGGGGUAGUGGCUUACCAAGGCUUUGACGGGUAGCCGGCCUGAGAGGGUGACCAGCCACAUUGGUCCUGAGAUACGGCGCAGUCUCCUAAUUGGGGCAGCAGUGGGGAAUAUUGUACAAUGGGCGGAAGCCUGAUGAAGCGACGCUGCGUGGGGGAUGACGUUCUUCGGGUUAAAAACCGCUUUCGCCUGUGACGAAGCGUGACUGACGGUAAUGGGUAAAGAAGCACCGGCUAACUUCGUG
This 468-nucleotide ribosomal RNA is filed under the name uncultured bacterium. RNAcentral describes it as "partial 16S ribosomal RNA". It matches the Rfam family "Bacterial small subunit ribosomal RNA", at positions 28 to 507 of the family's 1533-position model. The record is from RNAcentral.